CGAACCCCCCUGGGUGGAAACCGGGGGGGAGACUGGGGGCAGGGGGGAAAGGCCAAUCCAUUCCCUGAUAGCUGGUCUCUCCGAAAAGCAUUUGGGUGCAGCGUCGGGUCAUUACGUCCCGGGGGUAGAGCUACGGGAUGCUUGCGGGCCCGUAUCGGGUACCAACAGCAACCAAACUCGGAAUACCGGUGACGCGUAUCCCGGCAGUGAGUCGGCGGGGGAUAAGCUUCGUCGUCGAAAGGGAAACAGCCCAGACCGUCGUCUAAGGUCCCGAAGCGUGUGCUAAGUGGGAAAGGAUGUGGAGUCGCAUAGACAGCCAGGAGGUUGGCUCAGAAGCAGCCACCCUUGAAAGAGUGCGUAACAGCUCACUGGUCUAGUGGUUCCGCGCCGACAAUGUAGCGGGGCUCAAGCACACCACCGAAGACGCGGCAGUAUUUUGUACUGGGUAGGAGAGCGUCCCAUGAGGGGCGAAGCGGCCGUGUGAACGCGCCGUGGACUUCAUGGGAGUGAGAAUGCAGACAUGAGUAGCGAGAGACGGGUGAAGAUCCCGUCCGCUGGAUGACCAAGGGUUCCAGGGCCACGUUCAUCGUCCCUGGGUGAGUCGGGUCCUAAGGCGAGGCCGACAGGCGUAGUCGAAUGGAUGAACGGGUCGAUAUUCCCGUACCGGCUUUCAGCCGCCAAAACCGAGGCUUGGAGUACUAACCUCCGGGUCCGGGCUUACUGCUCCUUCGGGGGCGGGAUGCCCUGGCCUGUUGGGACCGAUCCUUGUAGUAGGUCAGCGCAGGAGUGACGCAGAAGGGUAGCCGGCCCCGCCCCUGGUCUUCCGUGGUCAAGCACGCAGGGCGUGGGACAGGCAAAUCCGUCCCGCAUGGGUCCGAGGUGCGAUGAUGGGGGCCUUAUGGCCCGAUAUCCGGUGAUCCCGGCUGCCGAGAAAAGCUUCGGCGUCAGGCUCAAAGCCGCCCGUACCCCAAACCGACACUGGUGGUCAGGUAGAGAAUACCAAAGCGAUCGAGCGAAUCCUGGUCAAGGAACUCGGCAAAUCACUCCCGUUCCUUCGGUUUAAGGGAGACCCCCGAUGGUGAACACACUUGCUGUGGGAGCUUUUGGGGGUGGCACAGACCAGGGGGUAGCGACUGUUUACCAAAAACACAGGUGCAUGCGAAGGCGCAAGCCGCUGUAUAUGCACUGACGCCUGCCCGGUGCCGGAAGGUUAAGAGGAUCCGUCAGCCUUCGGGUGAAGCGGUGAAUUCAAGCCCCGGUAAACGGCGGUGGUAACUAUAACCAUCCUAAGGUAGCGAAAUUCCUUGUCGGGUAAGUUCCGACCUGCACGAAUGGCGUAACGACUUCCCCACUGUCUCGACCAGGAGCUCGGCGAAAUUGCAGUACGAGUAAAGAUGCUCGUUAAGCGCAGAAGGACGAAAAGACCCCGGGACCUUUACUAUACCUUGGUAUUGGCAUUCGGUGUGGAUUGUGUAGCAUAGGCGGGAGGCCGAGAGGCGCGGUCGCCAGAUCGCGCGGAGCCGUAAGGUGAAAUACCGCUCUGUUCGCAUUGGAUGUCUAACCUCGAACAGUCAUCCUGUUCAGGGACAGUGCCUGGCGGGUAGUUUAACUGGGGCGGUUGCCUCCCAAAGAGUAACGGAGGCGCCCAAAGGUCCGCUCAGCCCGGUUGGCAAUCGGGUGGCGAGUGCAAGUGCACAAGCGGGCUUGACUGCGAGGACGACGGUCCGAGCAGGGACGAAAGUCGGGACUAGUGAUCCGGUGCCGGUGUACGGACGCGGCAUCGCUCAACGGAUAAAAGGUACCCCGGGGAUAACAGGCUGAUCAUUCCCAAGAGUCCAUAUCGACGGGAUGGUUUGGCACCUCGAUGUCGGCUCGUCGCAUCCUGGGGCUGGAGCAGGUCCCAAGGGUUCGGCUGUUCGCCGAUUAAAGCGGCACGCGAGCUGGGUUCAGAACGUCGUGAGACAGUUUGGUCUCUAUCCUCUGCGCUCGUUGGAAUGCUGAGGAGGCCUGCCCAUAGUACGAGAGGACCUGGGUGGACGAACCUCUGGUAUGCCGGUUGUCACGCCAGUGGCACGGCCGGUUGGCUACGUUCGGAAGGGAUAACCGCUGAAAGCAUCUAAGCGGGAAGCCUGCUCCAAGAUAAGCAUUCCGUGGAACCUUCGAGUUCCUGUAGUCCCCAUGCAGAACACGUGGUCGAUAGGCCGGACGUGGAAGCCCCGCGAGGGGUGGAGCCGACCGGUACUAACGGACGAAAGGCAACACUAA
This 2265-nucleotide ribosomal RNA is filed under the name human gut metagenome. RNAcentral's name for it is "bacterial LSU rRNA". It matches the Rfam family "Bacterial large subunit ribosomal RNA", at positions 775 to 2925 of the family's 2925-position model. The record is from RNAcentral.